CCUACGGGAGGCAGCAGUAAGGAAUAUUGGUCAAUGGACGAAAGUCUGAACCAGCCAUGCCGCGUGAAGGAUUAAGGCCCUCUGGGUUGUAAACUUCUUUUAUCUGGGACGAAAAAAGGGUAUUCUUACUCACUUGACGGUACCAGAGGAAUAAGCACCGGCUAACUCCGUGCCAGCAGCCGCGGUAGUACGGAGGGUGCAAGCGUUAUCCGGAUUUACUAGGUUUAAAGGGUGCGUAGGUGGGCUUGUAAGUCAGUGGUGAAAUCUCCGGGCUUAACCCGGAAACUGCCAUUGAUACUAUAGGUCUUGAAUUAUCUGGAGGUAAGCGGAAUAUGUCAUGUAGCGGUGAAAUGCUUAGAUAUGACAUAGAACACCAAUUGCGAAGGCAGCUUACUACGGAUACAUUGACACUGAGGCACGAAAGCGUGGGGAUCAAACAGGAUUAGAUACCCUGGUAGUCCACGCCCUAAACGAUGGAUACUCGACAUCAGCGAUACACUGUUGUGUCUGAGNGAAGANAUAUAUACCACCNGAGUAGANGCAGAUAGAACGACAAUAGAGUAGUAGNGNGAGAGAGACGAGACGACGACGAGGAGGAGG
This 600-nucleotide ribosomal RNA is filed under the name uncultured bacterium. Its description in RNAcentral is "bacterial SSU rRNA". The stretch from base 1 to 531 matches the Rfam family "Bacterial small subunit ribosomal RNA", at positions 338 to 873 of the family's 1533-position model. The record is from RNAcentral.